This 253-nucleotide ribosomal RNA is filed under the name uncultured bacterium. Its description in RNAcentral is "partial 16S ribosomal RNA". It matches the Rfam family "Bacterial small subunit ribosomal RNA", at positions 524 to 776 of the family's 1533-position model. The record is from RNAcentral.
UACGUAGGGGGCAAGCGUUGUCCGGAAUCAUUGGGCGUAAAGAGCGUGUAGGCGGCCAGAUAAGUCCGCUGUGAAAACUCGAGGCUCAACUUCGAGCUGUCGGCGGAAACUAUCUGGCUAGAGUCCGGAAGAGGAGAGUGGAAUUCCUGGUGUAGCGGUGAAAUGCGCAGAUAUCAGGAAGAACACCCGUGGCGAAGGCGGCUCUCUGGGCCUUACCUGACGCUCAGGUGCGAAAGCUAGGGGAGCGAACAGG